GUGGGGAAUUUUGCGCAAUGGGGGAAACCCUGACGCAGCAACGCCGCGUGGAGGAUGAAGGUCUUCGGAUUGUAAACUCCUGUCAGUGGGGAAAAAGGGGCACGGGUGAACAUCCCGUGUCAUUGAUUGUACCCGCAGAGGAAGCCCCGGCUAACUCUGUGCCAGCAGCCGCGGUAAUACAGAGGGGGCAAGCGUUAUUCGGAAUUAUUGGGCGUAAAGGGCGCGUAGGCGGUCGCACAAGUGGGAGGUGAAAUCCCUCGGCUCAACCGAGGAGCUGCCUCCCAAACUGAGUGACUUGAGUCCGGGAGAGGUGAGUGGAAUUCCCAGUGUAGCGGUGAAAUGCGUAGAUAUUGGGAGGAACACCAGUGGCGAAGGCGGCUCACUGGACCGGAACUGACGCUGAGGCGCGAAAGCGUGGGGAGCAAACGGGAUUAGAAACCCGAGUAGUCC
RNAcentral lists this ribosomal RNA (450 nucleotides) under uncultured bacterium. Its description in RNAcentral is "bacterial SSU rRNA". It matches the Rfam family "Bacterial small subunit ribosomal RNA", at positions 354 to 796 of the family's 1533-position model. The record is from RNAcentral.